UCCUAAACUUAAAGAAAUCCAAAUAUAAGUGAAAUGAACUUAUUGCGUGUGGUGAGAGUGAAUAUUACCACAUUUGUGUGGCUGUAACUGCAGCCAUCACACCCCUCCUCAACAGUUUGUCUGU
Xiphophorus hellerii (green swordtail) is the source of this 124-nucleotide long non-coding RNA. RefSeq lists it as uncharacterized. Lineage: Eukaryota; Metazoa; Chordata; Actinopteri; Cyprinodontiformes; Poeciliidae. The transcript has 3 exons. The record is from RefSeq and is a predicted model, not a curated record.